Molecule: long non-coding RNA, 534 nt
Filed under: Trifolium pratense (red clover)
Lineage: Eukaryota; Viridiplantae; Streptophyta; Magnoliopsida; Fabales; Fabaceae
Description: long non-coding RNA (TPRA_LNC005948)
Source: RNAcentral
UGGGGAUUCCACUACGGGUAUUUACGCAUACCCGUAGUGGUAUGUAUGGUUUCCAGUUUUUUUUUUAAGAAUUGAGGAUUCCACUACGGGUCAUUACUUUUACCCGUAGUGGUAUGUGUAGUUUUCACUAUUGAUUGUUAUAAAUAUCAGUAGUGGUAUGUUAGUUUUAUUUUUUAUUUUUUUUCGUUUUUUUGUAGCUUCCUGUGCCUGCAUAUUAGUAGUGGUGUAGUUUUGUAACAUGUUUAAGACCAAAUUUCAUCACAGACCCCAAAGUUACAUUCAACACAUUAAAAGUCAAUACUUAACAUUAUCACUAAUUAAUUCCAAGUCUAAUUCCAAGCAGACAAUCACAUGUAACUACUUCAUAUAUGAUUCUUUUAUAAAUCUCGUUACAUUACGUCAUUACUUAUCGUAACAAGAUACAUACAUAUAAAUAUUAGAAAGUCUAAGGUCUCUUAAGAAAAUUCUUGAACCAUUGUGCUGAGAGCUUGUGAGCUACUAACCAUCCAAUCAUGAAGUCAAUUGAUCGCUNNN